CGAAACAAGGAUAAGUUACCCGAUAGCAUGAAAAUGUACUCCGAUGAAACACCCAAUCAGCGCAAACAAUUACAAGAUCUAAAAUCUGAGCUAACUCGGAGACAAAACGAUGGCGAAAAGGACCUUACUAUAAAAUACAUAAAGGGCAUACCGAGAAUCGUAAAUACUACUCAAAAAAACUAAUAAGUAAUAAUGACCCUACCAAUAAUAGUACAACAUACCAGAUAAUUAGUAACUACGCAGACCUACAUCCCACAAAAUCUUGUCUUAACUUUUUAUAUUUAAAUGCACGGAGCAUCUGUAACAAGUUUGAUGAGCUUAAAUGUAUACUAAGAUCCAUCUCAACCACAACGCAUAUAAUAUUACUGACCGAGUCCUGGAUAAAAUCCGAAGAACAUGCGCAAAGAUUCCGCCUGCCAAAUUAUACCCAUUACUGCAAUUGUCGCGACGAUAGGACAGGUGGUGGAGUGUCGGCAUUCGUCCACAAUGACUUGAAACAUAGUUUGUUAGAGUCUACUUACGAUGGAGAAAAUAAUUACUUAUGGCUGAAACUUGAGAAGUAUUCACUCAACAUUGGUCUUAUUUAUAAUCCUGGUGACACAAAUUUUGAAAAAUUCAUUUACACUCUUGAGGCACAACUGCACCAAAGGAAACGAAUUCUUCUUUUCGGAGAUUUUAAUAUUGAUCUUUUAACAAGAACCAAGCAGAAACAAAGCUAUAUAAAUUGCCUAAAUGCAGCAGGUUGCAAAAUAUUGAAUAAAAACAAUAAAAAAUACUACACAAGGAGUGAUACCACAAGGAAAUCAAUAUUAGAUCAUGUCAAUACCAGUUUGAAGAACGACAACUACCACAUGGCACUGAUUGAAACCUCAUUUUCCGACCACAGACAAAUCCACCUCGCGCUUAAGAAAUACAAACCGCCUCGCAAACAACGCGUUAGUUAUAAAGCGCUAAAUUACGAACAACUCUAUCAAGAGGCUGAAAAUGCUAAAGCAGAGGAAAACGAUAACUUUGAAAUAUUUGAACGAAAACUUAAAAAACAAAUCGAUCAUAGUUUAAUAACAAAAACGAAAAUUUUAAACUUACCACAAAAAGACUGGGUGCAGCGAGAUAUUAUCAAUGGAAUCAAUCGGAGGAACGAGCUAUGGGCUAAACUUCAAGAACACCCUGAUAAUGAUGCUCUAGAAAACCAAUUCAAGACAGAGAAACACGCAGUAGCCCAUCUGAUCAAAGAGGCAAAAGACUCCUAUUAUUACAACCAGUUCAAGAAAUGCAGCACCAAACCCAAGAAGAUGUGGAAUCUUAUUAACGAUCUCUCUAACAACAAAGUCAAAACUAGCUGUGCUCUCCCUAGGCUCAUACAUGACUCAAAAGAUAUUAUAGACCCCCUUUUGAUUUGCAAUACUUUCAAUGACUACUUUUCAUCUAUAGGGUCAUUAUUAGCUAAAAAAAUCCCGUCCCAUUUUCACAACAUCGAUACUACAGCAUCACAACAUAGUUUCAAAAACUGCACAAAUCUACUAACAGACUUUAUACCUACUACUGAUAGUGAAGUAUCAAAAAUAAUAGAUAACUUAGACCCUAAUUCAAGUAAUGGCUUAGAUGGCAUAAGUACUAAAGCCAUCAAAUGUUUGAAAACUUUGAUAGUCCCAGAGUUAACUAAAUGCAUUAAUGCAGCUCUUAUACGGGGAGAAUUUCCCGAUUCACUUAAAAUCGCAAAAGUCUCUCCUAUCUACAAAUCUGGCAUAAAAACCGACCCAGGCAAUUAUAGGCCGAUCUCAAUUCUCCCAAUACUCUCAAAAAUUCUUGAAUAUAUUCUUCACGAACGCUUGGAAACCUUCUUAACUAAGAUCAAUUACAUAACAGAACGACAAUUUGGCUUCAGGUCUAAAAGCAAUACCCUAGCCGCGACCGUAGAUUUAAUCACCAAGAUUAGACAAAACAUCGACGGUAAGAAAAUAGUUUUGGGAAUCUUUAUCGACCUAAAAAAAGCGUUCGACACUGUGAGUCAUAACAAACUUAUACAAAAACUUAGCCUAACUGGGAUAAAAGGUACUGCGCUAAAAAUGUUUGAGUCUUACUUCAAGAAUAGGCAGCAAAUAGUAAAAAUCAACGAACAUGUAAGUGAACCUCGUCCUAUAUCUUUUGGGGUCCCACAAGGUUCGAUCUUAGGCCCUCUGUUAUUUUCGGUCUAUAUCAAUGAUGUCACUGAUUUAGGAUUACAGGGACACAUCACUCUAUAUGCUGAUGAUACGUGCCUAUUCUACUUUGGUUCGUCUAUACGUGAUAUUAUUAAUUCAGCACAAAAGGAUUUGGACACUCUCUACUAUUGGUUGCAAUCAAACUUGUUAACUAUCAACAUCUCUAAAACGUCAUAUGUUAUAUUUAAAGCGAAAAACAAGCCCGUACCUACAUAUCCACCCUUAACUAUUAAUAACGAUCCAAUACAAGAGAAACGCGGUGAAAAGUACUUAGGACUUCAUAUUGAUAGUCAGCUAACAUGGAAGCUACACAUUGACUACCUCAAAAAAAAGCUGUCGUCACUAAUGGGUUCUUUGCGUGGCAUAGUACGCUGCCUACCCCGAAAAGUGCGGAUGACCAUUUAUAACUCAUUAGUUAAAUCACACCUGUUAUAUCUCAUUGAAAUAUGGGGUACUGCAAGCAAAACCAGUCUCUCUGACUUGCAGGUCAUCCAAAACAAAUUAAUAAAAAUGUUAUUUCACUAUCACUACUUAACACCAACAACUACUAUAUACACACAAACUAACCUAAUGAAUUUAAAACAGUUAUACACCCACUGCACAUGUAUCCUCAUAAGAAAAAUACUAUGUAAAACAAUCCACACAUCACUUUCACUUACCCAAAACAAACAAGUGUCUAAACGCUCCACAAGACGGGCUAGCUACGUCAUUCUACCUAAAAUCCGGACAAACUAUGGCAAACGGAUGAUAACUUACGAGGGCGCACAACUUUUUAACAACUUACCUUCACAUAUAAAAAAUAUCGAAUCAUUAAAUGAUUUUAAACGUAAAUUAGCUCAAUAUAUUAUAAUUAAAUAUCAACCAUAACUUGUUUUUGGAGGGAUCGUGAUGGGAAUGUAAUUUAAUUUAAUGUGAAAUAAAUUAAGUGUGGAACGCCAUCUAAACGGGUGUGAAAUAGAUAGACUCAUGAGACCCUCACUGAUGUUGCUGGGAGCUAUGAAUGCUGACUACGUGCAGCAAAGACGGAGGCUUAGAGACGAGAAACUUAUGACAACAAUCCUCAGU
Molecule: RNA transcript, 3266 nt
Organism: Pectinophora gossypiella (pink bollworm)
Lineage: Eukaryota; Metazoa; Arthropoda; Insecta; Lepidoptera; Gelechiidae
Gene: CPSF2
Gene name: probable cleavage and polyadenylation specificity factor subunit 2
Exons: 3
Source: RefSeq, a predicted model, not a curated record